Molecule: ribosomal RNA, 459 nt
Filed under: uncultured bacterium
Lineage: Bacteria
Description: partial 16S ribosomal RNA
Rfam family: Bacterial small subunit ribosomal RNA
Source: RNAcentral
CCUACGGGAGGCAGCAGUGAGGAAUAUUGGUCAAUGGCCGGAAGGCUGAACCAGCCAUGCCGCGUGAAGGUCAGUGCCCUAUGGGCGUUAAACUUCUUUUGUGCGGGAGCACUAAUGGUCACGUGUGGCCAGACGAGAGUAUCGUACGAAUAAGGAUCGGCUAACUCCGUGCCAGCAGCCGCGGUAAUACGGAGGAUCCGAGCGUUAUCCGGAUUUAUUGGGUUUAAAGGGUGCGUAGGCGGUUUGAUAAGUUAGAGGUGAAAUGUCGGGGCUCAACCCCGAAACUGCCUCUAAUACUGUUGGACUAGAGAAUAGUUGCGGUAGGCGGAAUGUAUGGUGUAGCGGUGAAAUGCUUAGAGAUCAUACAGAACACCGAUUGCGAAGGCAGCAUACCGGCGCCCGACUGACGCUGAAGCACGAAAGCGUGGGUAUCGAACAGGAUUAGAUACCCGUGUAGUC